Molecule: ribosomal RNA, 145 nt
Filed under: uncultured eukaryote
Lineage: Eukaryota
Description: partial 18S ribosomal RNA
Rfam family: Eukaryotic small subunit ribosomal RNA
Source: RNAcentral
UGGUGGAGUGAUUUGUCUGGUUAAUUCCGUUAACGAACGAGACGACCGUCUACUAAAUAGUUCUAUAAAUAUUUCGAUAUUUAUUCAGUUUAACUUCUUAGAGAGACUAUCGGUGUGUAGCCGAUGGAAGUUGGUCGCAAUAACA